GAUGAACGCUGGCGGCGUGCCUAAUACAUGCAAGUCGAGCGAACAGAUGAGGAGCUUGCUCCUCUGACGUUAGCGGCGGACGGGUGAGUAACACGUGGAUAACCUACCUAUAAGACUGGGAUAACUUCGGGAAACCGGAGCUAAUACCGGAUAAUAUAUUGAACCGCAUGGUUCAAUAGUGAAAGACGGUUUUGCUGUCACUUAUAGAUGGAUCCGCGCCGCAUUAGCUAGUUGGUAAGGUAACGGCUUACCAAGGCAACGAUGCGUAGCCGACCUGAGAGGGUGAACGGCCACACUGGAACUGAGACACGGUCCAGACUCCUAAGGGAGGCAGCAGUAGGGAAUCUUCCGAAAUGGGCGAAAGCCUGACGGAGCAAAGCCGCGUGAAUGAUGAAGGUCUUCGGAUCGUAAAACUCUGUUAUUAGGGAAGAACAAAUGUGUAAGUAAAUAUGCACGUCUUGACGGUACCCAAACAGAAAGCCACGGGUAACUACGUG
Molecule: ribosomal RNA, 497 nt
Filed under: uncultured bacterium
Lineage: Bacteria
Description: partial 16S ribosomal RNA
Rfam family: Bacterial small subunit ribosomal RNA
Source: RNAcentral